Molecule: ribosomal RNA, 292 nt
Filed under: uncultured bacterium
Lineage: Bacteria
Description: partial 16S ribosomal RNA
Rfam family: Bacterial small subunit ribosomal RNA
Source: RNAcentral
GUGCCAGCAGCCGCGGUAAUACGAACCGUCCAAACGUUACUCGGAAUCACUGGGCUUAAAGGGUGCGUAGGCCGCGCGGAGGGUGGGAUGUGAAAUCCCCCGGCUCAACCGGGGAAUAGCGUCCCAAACCGCCGUGCUCGAGGGAGACAGAGGUGAGCGGAACUGAUGGUGGAGCGGUGAAAUGCGUUGAUAUCAUCAGGAACACCAGUGGCGAAAGCGGCUCACUGGGUCUUUCCUAACGCUGAGGCACGAAAGCUAGGGGAGCGAACGGGAUUAGAAACCCUAGUAGUCC